This 415-nucleotide ribosomal RNA is filed under the name uncultured archaeon. RNAcentral's name for it is "bacterial SSU rRNA". It matches the Rfam family "Archaeal small subunit ribosomal RNA", at positions 581 to 997 of the family's 1478-position model. The record is from RNAcentral.
AUACUGCCAGACUGGAACCGGGAGAGGUAAGAGGUACUACAGGGGUAGGAGUGAAAUCUUGUAAUCCCUGUGGGACCACCUGUGGCGAAGGCGUCUUACCAGACGGUCGACGGUGAGGACGAAGCGUGGGGGCACGAACCGGAUUAGAUACCCGGGUAGUCCCAGCCGUAAACGAUGCUCGCUAGGUGUCAGGCAUGGCGCGACCGUGUCUGGUGCCGCAGGGAAGCCGUGAAGCGAGCCACCUGGGAAGUACGGCCGCAAGGCUGAAACUUAAAGGAAUUGGCGGGGGAGCACAACAACGGGUGGAGCCCUGCGGUCUAAUUGGACUCAACGCCGGACAACUCGACCGGGGGCGACAGCAAUAUGUAGGCCAAGCUGAAGUACUUUGCCUGAAUCGCUGAGGGGUGGUGCAUGG